UACGUAGGUGGCAAGCGUUGUCCGGAUUUACUGGGUGUAAAGGGCGUGUAGCCGGGCUGACAAGUCAGAUGUGAAAUCCGGGGGCUCAACCCCCGAACUGCAUUUGAAACUGUUGGUCUUGAGUAUCGGAGAGGCAGGCGGAACUCCUAGUGUAGCGGUGAAAUGCGUAGAUAUAUGGAAGAACACCAGUGGCGAAGGCGGCUCUCUGGCCUGUAACUGACACUGAGGUUCGAAAGCGUGGGUAGCAAACAGG
This 253-nucleotide ribosomal RNA is filed under the name uncultured bacterium. Its description in RNAcentral is "partial 16S ribosomal RNA". It matches the Rfam family "Bacterial small subunit ribosomal RNA", at positions 524 to 776 of the family's 1533-position model. The record is from RNAcentral.